This 875-nucleotide ribosomal RNA is filed under the name uncultured bacterium. RNAcentral describes it as "bacterial SSU rRNA". It matches the Rfam family "Bacterial small subunit ribosomal RNA", at positions 8 to 894 of the family's 1533-position model. The record is from RNAcentral.
AGAGUUUGAUCCUGGCUCAGGACGAACGCUGGCGGCGUGCUUAACACAUGCAAGUCACGGGGGCCCGCAAGGGUAACCGGCGAACGGGUGCGUAACACGUGAACAAUCUGCCUAGAUGUGGGGGAUAGCCGGCCCAACGGCCGGGUAAUACCGCAUACGCUCUUCGGGUGGCAUCACUUGAAGAGGAAACCUCCGGGGCAUCUAGAGGAGUUCGCGGCCUAUCAGCUAGUUGGUGGGGUAACGGCCUACCAAGGCAAUGACGGGUAGCUGGUCUGAGAGGAUGGCCAGCCACAUUGGGACUGAGAUACGGCCCAGACUCCUACGGGAGGCAGCAGUGGGGAAUAUUGCGCAAUGGCCGAAAGGCUGACGCAGCGACGCCGCGUGGGGGAUGAAGCAUUUCGGUGUGUAAACCCCUGUUGCCCGGGACGAACAAGCGAUUUUGAUCGCUCUGACGGUACCGGGUGAGGAAGCACCGGCUAACUCCGUGCCAGCAGCCGCGGUAAUACGGAGGGUGCGAGCGUUGUCCGGAAUCACUGGGCGUAAAGGGCGCGUAGGCGGUCUGCUAAGCGUGUGGUGAAAGCUCGGGGCUCAACCCCGAGUCUGCCAUGCGAACUGGUGGACUAGAGCACUGUAGAGGCAGGUGGAAUUCCGGGUGUAGCGGUGGAAUGCGUAGAGAUCCGGAAGAACACCAGUGGCGAAGGCGGCCUGCUGGGCAGUAGCUGACGCUGAGGCGCGAUAGCGUGGGGAGCAAACAGGAUUAGAUACCCUGGUAGUCCACGCCGUAAACGAUGGGGACUAGGUGCUUGGGGGAGCGACCCCUCGAGUGCCGGCGCUAACGCAUUAAGUCCCCCGCCUGGGGAGUACGACCGCAAGGU